UACGUAGGGGGCAAGCGUUGUCCGGAAUUAUUGGGCGUAAAGAGCGUGUAGGCGGUCCGGUAAGUCAGCUGUGAAAGUCAAGGGCUCAACCCUUGAAUGCCGGUUGAUACUGUCGGGCUUGAAUCCGGGAGAGGGAUGCAGAAUUCCAGGUGUAGCGGUGAAAUGCGUAGAUAUCUGGAGGAAUACCGGUGGCGAAGGCGGCAUCCUGGACCGGCAUUGACGCUGAGGAGCGAAAGCCAGGGGAGCAAACGGG
This 253-nucleotide ribosomal RNA is filed under the name uncultured bacterium. RNAcentral's name for it is "partial 16S ribosomal RNA". It matches the Rfam family "Bacterial small subunit ribosomal RNA", at positions 524 to 776 of the family's 1533-position model. The record is from RNAcentral.